UACGUAGGGGGCAAGCGUUGUCCGGAAUCAUUGGGCGUAAAGAGCGUGUAGGCGGUUCGGUAAGUCGGCUGUGAAAGUCCAGGGCUCAACCCUGGGAUGCCGGUCGAUACUCCCGGACUAGAGUUCGGAAGAGGCGAGUGGAAUUCCCGGUGUAGCGGUGAAAUGCGCAGAUAUCGGGAGGAACACCUAUGGCGAAGGCAGCUCGCUGGGACGUUACUGACGCUGAGACGCGAAAGCGUGGGGAGCAAACAGG
RNAcentral lists this ribosomal RNA (253 nucleotides) under uncultured bacterium. Its description in RNAcentral is "partial 16S ribosomal RNA". It matches the Rfam family "Bacterial small subunit ribosomal RNA", at positions 524 to 776 of the family's 1533-position model. The record is from RNAcentral.